RNAcentral lists this ribosomal RNA (605 nucleotides) under uncultured bacterium. RNAcentral's name for it is "bacterial SSU rRNA". It matches the Rfam family "Bacterial small subunit ribosomal RNA", at positions 100 to 719 of the family's 1533-position model. The record is from RNAcentral.
GGACUGGUGAGUAACGCGUAAGGAACCUGCCUAUUAGAGGGGAAUAACAGGUGAGAAAUCAUUGCUAAUACCGCAUAUGCCAUAGAUAUCACAUGAUAACAGUGGGAAAGGAGCAAUCCGCUAAUAGAUGGCCUUGCGUCUGAUUAGAUAGUUGGUGGGGUAACGGCCUACCAAGUCGACGAUCAGUAGCCGGACUGAGAGGUUGAACGGCCACAUUGGGACUGAGAUACGGCCCAGACUCCUACGGGAGGCAGCAGUCGGGAAUAUUGCGCAAUGGAGGAAACUCUGACGCAGUGACGCCGCGUAUAGGAAGAAGGUUUUCGGAUUGUAAACUAUUGUCGUUAGGGAAGAGAAAGGACAGUACCUAAGGAGGAAGCUCCGGCUAACUACGUGCCAGCAGCCGCGGUAAUACGUAGGGAGCGAGCGUUACCCGGAAUUAUUGGGUGUAAAGGGUGCGUAGACGGGAGAACAAGUUAGUUGUGAAAUACCUCGGCUCAACUGAGGAACUGCAACUAAAACUGUACUUCUUGAGUGCAGGAAAGGUAAGUGGAAUUCCUAGUGUAGCGGUGAAAUGCGUAGAUAUUAGGAGGAACACCAGUGGCGAA